GCUUACGCUUAGGCUUAGGCUUAGGCUAAGGCUUUGGUUCAGGCUUAGGCUUAGGCUUAGGCUUAGA
This is a non-coding RNA of Caenorhabditis elegans, 67 nucleotides long. NCBI's taxonomy places the organism in Eukaryota, Metazoa, Nematoda, Chromadorea, Rhabditida, Rhabditidae. The record is from Ensembl.